RNAcentral lists this ribosomal RNA (1442 nucleotides) under uncultured organism. Its description in RNAcentral is "16S ribosomal RNA". It matches the Rfam family "Bacterial small subunit ribosomal RNA". The record is from RNAcentral.
CAGGCUUAACACAUGCAAGUCGAGGGGCAUCAGGAAGAAAGCUUGCUUUCUUUGCUGGCGACCGGCGCACGGGUGAGUAACACGUAUCCAACCUGCCCUUUACUCGGGGAUAGCCUUUCGAAAGAAAGAUUAAUACCCGAUAGCAUAAUGAUUCCGCAUGGUUUCAUUAUUAAAGGAUUCCGGUAAAGGAUGGGGAUGCGUUCCAUUAGGUUGUUGGUGAGGUAACGGCCCACCAAGCCUUCGAUGGAUAGGGGUUCUGAGAGGAAGGUCCCCCACAUUGGAACUGAGACACGGUCCGAACUCCUACGGGAGGCAGCAGUGAGGAAUAUUGGUCAAUGGGCGCUAGCCUGAACCAGCCAAGUAGCGUGAAGGAUGAAGGCUCUAUGGGUCGUAAACUUCUUUUAUAUAAGAAUAAAGUGCAGUAUGUAUACUGUUUUGUAUGUAUUAUAUGAAUAAGGAUCGGCUAACUCCGUGCCAGCAGCCGCGGUAAUACGGAGGAUCCGAGCGUUAUCCGGAUUUAUUGGGUUUAAAGGGAGCGUAGGUGGACUGGUAAGUCAGUUGUGAAAGUUUGCGGCUCAACCGUAAAAUUGCAGUUGAUACUGUCAGUCUUGAGUACAGUAGAGGUGGGCGGAAUUCGUGGUGUAGCGGUGAAAUGCUUAGAUAUCACGAAGAACUCCGAUUGCGAAGGCAGCUCACUGGACUGCAACUGACACUGAUGCUCGAAAGUGUGGGUAUCAAACAGGAUUAGAUACCCUGGUAGUCCACACAGUAAACGAUGAAUACUCGCUGUUUGCGAUAUACAGUAAGCGGCCAAGCGAAAGCAUUAAGUAUUCCACCUGGGGAGUACGCCGGCAACGGUGAAACUCAAAGGAAUUGACGGGGGCCCGCACAAGCGGAGGAACAUGUGGUUUAAUUCGAUGAUACGCGAGGAACCUUACCCGGGCUUAAAUUGCAGUGGAAUGAUGUGGAAACAUGUCAGUGAGCAAUCACCGCUGUGAAGGUGCUGCAUGGUUGUCGUCAGCUCGUGCCGUGAGGUGUCGGCUUAAGUGCCAUAACGAGCGCAACCCUUAUCUUUAGUUACUAACAGGUUAUGCUGAGGACUCUAGAGAGACUGCCGUCGUAAGAUGUGAGGAAGGUGGGGAUGACGUCAAAUCAGCACGGCCCUUACGUCCGGGGCUACACACGUGUUACAAUGGGGGGUACAGAAGGCAGCUAGCGGGUGACCGUAUGCUAAUCCCAAAAGCCUCUCUCAGUUCGGAUCGAAGUCUGCAACCCGACCUCGUGAAGCUGGAUUCGCUAGUAAUCGCGCAUCAGCCAUGGCGCGGUGAAUACGUUCCCGGGCCUUGUACACACCGCCCGUCAAGCCAUGAAAGCCGGGGGUACCUGAAGUACGUAACCGCAAGGGGCGUCCUAGGGUAAAACUGGUAAUUGGGGCUAAGUCG